UGCCCGACCUGACAAGAGAGGCAAGUGGUAGUUAAGAGAAAGACGUGCAUAUAUAUGAAAUGAACCACUGGGUUUCGUCGGUGUUCGUGAAAGACAGCAAAGCAAGAUGGCUGGACCAAGCAGAAUGUACUUGCUACUAGCCCCGGUAUUACUGGUAGCAGCCGUGAAGGCCAACGCGCAGGGCGGAUUUGGAGCACAAGGAGGUGUUCCUGGGAUUGGCGGCGUCGGUGGACAAGGCGGUCAGGGUGGGGUCCACGGCCCAGGAAACUUGGACGAACAAGGCAGUAUCGGCAGCUCACUUGGUGGACGAGGGGACGAAGAUCAGCGUCGAUUCGGUGGAAGAGAAGGUGGGUUCGGUGGUCAACGUGGCGUCCACAGUUCCAGCAGCUCAUCAGGUGAACCAGGGGCCGAAGGUCAGGUUCGAUUCGGCGGGAAAGAAGGUGGGUUCGGUGGUCAAGGUGGCGUCCACAGUUCCAGCAGCUCAUCAGGUGAACCAGGAGCUGAAGGUCAGGUUCGAUUCGGUGGAAAAGAAGGUGGGUUCGGUGGUCAAGGUGGCGUCCACAGUUCCGGCAACUCAUCAGGUGCAGGGGCCGAAGGUCAGGUUCGAAUCGGUGGAAAUGAAGGUGGGUUCGGUGGACAAGGUGGAAGAGGACAAGGAUGAUUCGGGGGAUAAUGUGGAAAAGGAGGAGGAGGAGGAUUCGAUGGACAAGGUGGAAGAAGACAAGGCGGAUUCGGCGGGGGAGGUGGAAGAGGUUAAGUCAUCCACGCUGGAAAUGACUUUAUGUUGACCAACGAGAAGAAAAUUGUGUACUUGGUAUGAAAGGGAAUAUUUCAUCUGCAUUCAUUAUAGCAAUUCAGUCGCUGUGGUUAUGGUCUAGAUGGGACGGUAGCUCUUAAGUGUGCUGGAAUAUUGACCUGUGCGACAGUGCAGAGGAUGCCCUUGUACGUAGUGUAGUGAAGGUAGAAAGUGACAAGACCUACACUGGAAACGUAGGAGCACCACAUGCCAUUCCGAAAGUGGUAAAUGGAAAAUUCAGAGACCCGGUAUGAAGGUUGAUUGAAAGCAAACGGCUGUUCGUCAAGGAAACAGCUGACUCACAAUGCCCUACGCUUCUUUAUUCCCUCAGCCUUUAAAUACAAUCACGAUGAUGAGGACGGUGCUCAGUAAAAGAACAGUGUCUGUUCGGAAUGUCGACGGUUCCGUCGACGUUCGUCGUAAAGAGGAACUUACCUAGAUGGUGGUUACCAGGCGAAGGAAGUGGUUAUUCAGGAGGGUCUUCAUGAUACUCAAAAAGGGGCGGGAAAGCAACAUACUGGAAAAAAGGAAGUGCCUGCUUAUUUACGUAAUGCUUUCGCGAAAGCUCGCCGGAUGAAUCACAACGGAACGGACCGUUCAAAAACACUCACACGAUCAUUGACAUUGACCAAACGAAAACAUUUGCGGGAAAACCCGGCAGCACUUGUCUUCCUCUUUAACCUACACCUUAUGAACGCUUGAGCGACAGCCAGGCCUUGCAUACAACUUCUCAACCGUGGAACGGAGUUCUCCACUGGUAGCGGUCUUGCAUGGUUAUGACAAAAGAAGAAACUGUCAUAGAGUUCCACGCAUUGCAAAGAACCUUGACGUUCGUUAUAGAUACAGCUGCUACGUAUUUGAUGACGCACCGCAUAUAGGUGUCAAAUUGCCGUGAAAUUAUAAACAACAUUAGGCCAUGCGAUAGACCGUCUGUCCGCUGGGUCAACAGUCAUGGCAAUUCUGGCCUUUCUGAUUACCAGUCGGCUUGCAAGCAUGUCUGCCAAGAAAGUGAAUGGUCGCUGACCUUUAUGUUCCCAAAGGACCUCUACCCGAGAAACGUCAUCAUGACGUUGGUAGACAGACUUAAACCGAAACGAAUCGGGAGGGGAGAGCUGGGUUCCACGAAUGGGCAGUUGUUCGCUGUCCAAUAUUGAAAGAAAAGUAGGGCCGAAGGUCGCGUCCCUUUCAGGGACCAUCGUAAUCACCUCAAGACCGUGGCUUUCGGGCGCGACCUUGUUCGCUCCUAGCUUCCACCGUAAUUGAAGUCUACCAAAUUGGUGGCGCUGUCGAACACUAUGACGUCAUUUGUUUACAAACAGGGAGAGGUCUAUUUCGCAUGCUCGUCGUUGGUGGACUCUCAGAAGAUGGGCGAGGUCAGAAAACACUCCUUUGAGAGCUCGGGAAUCUGGAGCGUUUUUAGUUAGCGGGGUUAGUUAAUAGGAUGCGUCUUGGGCCGACUUCAGGGGGAACUGUGCCGACAUUCGUCUGGCAAGUCUGGUGUAAAACCCAGAGAAAACUUCAGCCGGUGCAGGGAUUCGAACCCGCGGCACCUCCCAGUCGCGGCGAGGAAAGUGAUCAUCCUAACCACUAUGCUACGGGAGCUCGGGUAUCUGGAGCGUUCGAGCACUGGAAUGGCCAAAGGGUUUGUUUGUUCGCUAAGUUCAACUAAUUCUUUCAUUAUAGUCAUAAUGGCGGGUUCAUGGCAAUGCAAUCUGAUGUACCUCUGCUGAGCAUAUUCUUUCAAUAACACAUGACAGUUUAGAAAUGCUGGGCCGAUGUUAUUACAUCAAUAGGGUCUGGAUACUGACACGGCUGAGACACUUCCUAGGGUCAGACAUAUGUACGUAUCACAUAUUUUUACUUCCCCUGAUCUUCGCAUUAUUUCCAUUAAUUUAGUUAAUAUUUGUUUUAGGUGGCAUGAAGCAGACUGUUGUAUACUCAGGUCAAACCACAGUCAUGUGUUUUUCUUUCACUUCGCUUAAUUCCCGUCGUCCACUAGCCGGAGGAUUUCUCAUGCAUACCAGCAAGUGCAUUUUGCACCUGACAUAUAUGGCUUAUCGCUACGCCAUUUGACUAGCGGGCGUAUUUAUCGACGCCAUAUUAGCAGGUCGCGGGUUCGACCAUGGCCGAGGACGCCAAUAGCUUGGUGGCAGCAUUCAAGUUGUUCAGACACGGAGUCUUCCCCGACGGACGUUGAAUACGGUGUGCAGCGUGCUAGGAUUUCGGUGCACGUCUAAAGGACCCUCAGGUAAACCCUCUCUCAAAAUUGCUUGGUCCCUGGCCAAAUCCUGCCCACCAACGCUCUGUCCUCAAAGCUCUUUUAACCUUCUUGGACACCAUAGGACCUCGAUCCUUAUUGUGAAGGGGCUCAUUAUUUCAUUCCCCACAUCACCACCAGCAAUGGGGUAGGGUAUCGCCCCUGGCGAUGAAACUCCCCAUGCAUCAUCUCAAGAUAAAGUUGUUGUUUAUUCAGGUAAUGAUCACAGUUGUUUCGCAACAUAAAGCCACGAACUUUUAUAAUAUUAGCAGGCUUGCUGGUCAAAUACGUAAAACCAGUGUUGGACCACGUCGCAAACGUCGAAAGGGCGUGUCUGUAAAGUGAGUAUAGUGGAUAACGUCAUCCCUGCUCUACCGUGUAGGUUCGCUUCCUCUAGCCUUCACUUCUGCGCACAUACGGAGGAAAUACAAUACACGUGGGAAGUGGAUUUUUCCCGGGUAGCCGCAAUAUUUAAUUCGCAGUUCUGCCACACAAUGACAUCUUAUUUCCUGCCUUGCGUAAGAGGGAUAGCUGAAAGAAAACCCCGCGCGAGAUUCGGCUGGUUCACUCAAAAAGCACAUCUUAUCUGAUCCCCAACCAAAAAAAAGAAAAGAUGAGAACGAGAGAAGGUACAGGAGAAAGGGUUGUUGCACCUGUGCCGUUCAGGAGAAUCUUCCUCGUACACCGGAACUUUUUAUACGGCGGCUUAUAAAAACAGGAGGCCGGUCUUCGCGGGUGGCACAUCGCUCCCGGAGUGAGGACGUGCAAGCCGAGCGGGAAUACGAAAAAUGAAGAACCUGCUUGUUUGUUUCGCUGGCCUGGCCAUCCUGAGCCUUGCCUUCGCUGCUCCGACUGCAGAAGGAGACAAGAAGGAAGCCAAGGAGGAGGCCAAAGCCGAAGGAGACAAGGACGUUGAAGGUCGCAUUGGAUUCGGUGUUGGUCCCUACGGAGGAGGAUUUGGCGGCUACGGCGGCGGCUACGGCGGCGGGUUCAACCAGGGAGGUAGCUUCAACCAAGGAGCAUUCGGCAACCGCUACGGACAAGGAGGCUUCGGAUACAACACUGGCGGAUCCAACCGCAGGGUUUACGGCAACAAGCAGACCUACGGUGACCGCGAGACAUUCGGGCUGAGCCACAACCAAGGUGGAAGCUCCGCAUUCGGACAAGGAAGCUACGGGAACCGUUACAAUACUCAAGCCGGUGGGCUAGGUGGUCAAGGGUACGGGUACCAGCAGGGCUUCUACGGGUAGGCAAGACCAUCCUGUCUCGUCCAUGUCCGUACUCGUGUCCAGGACAUUCCACAAAAAGACUUCCAGAAGAUGCUCCCAACAAACUGUACAUACCGCCAGAUGGUUCAUUAAAAGCUAAUUUAUUGAAAUAA
Ornithodoros turicata is the source of this 4434-nucleotide RNA transcript. It is a transcript of the gene named protein suex-1-like, with no coding region annotated. Lineage: Eukaryota; Metazoa; Arthropoda; Arachnida; Ixodida; Argasidae. The record is from RefSeq and is a predicted model, not a curated record. The transcript has 3 exons.